Phrynosoma platyrhinos (Desert horned lizard) is the source of this 73-nucleotide non-coding RNA. Lineage: Eukaryota; Metazoa; Chordata; Lepidosauria; Squamata; Phrynosomatidae. The record is from the annotation of a GenBank genome assembly.
GCCAGUGUGGUGUAGAGGUUUGAAUGUUGGAUGAGGAUUCCAAGAAAUCAGGGUUCAAACCCCUGCUCAGUCA